UCACCUGUUUAUCAAAAACAUGUCUUAUUGAUUAUAAUUUUAAGUCAAAUCUGCUCAAUGAAUUAAUUUAUUUUAAUAGCUGCAGUAUUUAUAACUGUACAAAGGUAGCAUAAUAAAUAGUUUUUUAAUUGAAAACUAGAAUGAAUGAUUUAAUGAAAUAUAAACUGUCUCAAAUUUAAAAAAUAAAUUUUUUUUUAAAUAAAAAAAUUUAAAUUUUUAUUAAAGACGAGAAGACCCUACAGAAUUUUUUUUAAUUUUUAAAUAAAUUUUUUAUUUAAAAAUUAAUUUAAUUGGGGAAAUUUUAAAAUUUUAAAAAUUUUUAAUUAAUUAUAAACAUUAAUUUUUGAAUAAUUAAAAUUUAAUAAAAAAUAAAAUUAAAUUACCUUAGGGAUAACAGCAUAAUUUUUUUAAAAAGUUCAAAUUAAUAAAAAAGUUUAUGACCUCG
RNAcentral lists this ribosomal RNA (445 nucleotides) under Dolichogenidea sp. 6 SY-2020. RNAcentral's name for it is "partial large subunit ribosomal RNA". The record is from RNAcentral. Lineage: Eukaryota; Metazoa; Arthropoda; Insecta; Hymenoptera; Braconidae.